AGAGUUUGAUCAUGGCUCAGAUUGAACGCUGGCGGCAGGCCUAACACAUGCAAGUCGAGCGGUAGCACAGAGAGCUUGCUCUCGGGUGACGAGCGGCGGACGGGUGAGUAAUGUCUGGGAAACUGCCUGAUGGAGGGGGAUAACUACUGGAAACGGUAGCUAAUACCGCAUAACGUCGCAAGACCAAAGUGGGGGACCUUCGGGCCUCAUGCCAUCAGAUGUGCCCAGAUGGGAUUAGCUAGUAGGUGGGGUAACGGCUCACCUAGGCGACGAUCCCUAGCUGGUCUGAGAGGAUGACCAGCCACACUGGAACUGAGACACGGUCCAGACUCCUACGGGAGGCAGCAGUGGGGAAUAUUGCACAAUGGGCGCAAGCCUGAUGCAGCCAUGCCGCGUGUGUGAAGAAGGCCUUCGGGUUGUAAAGCACUUUCAGCGGGGAGGAAGGCGUUAAGGUUAAUAACCUUGGCGAUUGACGUUACCCGCAGAAGAAGCACCGGCUAACUCCGUGCCAGCAGCCGCGGUAAUACGGAGGGUGCAAGCGUUAAUCGGAAUUACUGGGCGUAAAGCGCACGCAGGCGGUCUGUCAAGUCGGAUGUGAAAUCCCCGGGCUCAACCUGGGAACUGCAUUCGAAACUGGCAGGCUAGAGUCUUGUAGAGGGGGGUAGAAUUCCAGGUGUAGCGGUGAAAUGCGUAGAGAUCUGGAGGAAUACCGGUGGCGAAGGCGGCCCCCUGGACAAAGACUGACGCUCAGGUGCGAAAGCGUGGGGAGCAAACAGGAUUAGAUACCCUGGUAGUCCACGCCGUAAACGAUGUCGAUUUGGAGGUUGUGCCCUUGAGGCGUGGCUUCCGGAGCUAACGCGUUAAAUCGACCGCCUGGGGAGUACGGCCGCAAGGUUAAAACUCAAAUGAAUUGACGGGGGCCCGCACAAGCGGUGGAGCAUGUGGUUUAAUUCGAUGCAACGCGAAGAACCUUACCUGGUCUUGACAUCCACAGAACUUUCCAGAGAUGGAUUGGUGCCUUCGGGAACUGUGAGACAGGUGCUGCAUGGCUGUCGUCAGCUCGUGUUGUGAAAUGUUGGGUUAAGUCCCGCAACGAGCGCAACCCUUAUCCUUUGUUGCCAGCGGUCCGGCCGGGAACUCAAAGGAGACUGCC
RNAcentral lists this ribosomal RNA (1153 nucleotides) under Klebsiella pneumoniae. RNAcentral describes it as "bacterial SSU rRNA". It matches the Rfam family "Bacterial small subunit ribosomal RNA", at positions 8 to 1153 of the family's 1533-position model. The record is from RNAcentral. Lineage: Bacteria; Pseudomonadati; Pseudomonadota; Gammaproteobacteria; Enterobacterales; Enterobacteriaceae.